Molecule: small RNA, 431 nt
Filed under: Malus domestica (apple)
Lineage: Eukaryota; Viridiplantae; Streptophyta; Magnoliopsida; Rosales; Rosaceae
Source: RNAcentral
GAGGCUUUUUGGGAGCUCACUGGCUUCGGGUUCCAUCGAAACUCUGAAGUUAAGCCAGUUCACGCGAGAGCAAUCCCAUGAUGGGUGACCUACUAGGAAGUUCUCGUGUGAGUUCCCAGAACCAAAACCGUGAGGGCAUGGUCGGGGCCUAAAGUGGACAAUAUUGUGCUACGGCGGAUUCGAGCCCGGGAUGUGACAAUUCGAUAUCAGAGCCAAUCCCUGGCCGGAAGUGUGCCGACGAGGACGUCGGGCCUCUAAGGGGAGUGGAUUGUAACAUCCCACAUCGCCCAGGGAGUGGAUCUUGUAAGCCUUAUAUGUAUAUUCCCAUCUCUACCUAGCACGAGGCCUUUUGGGACUCCAAAGUUAAGUGAGUUCGCGCGAGAGCAAUCCCAGGAUGGGCGACCUAUUAGGAAGUUCUCGUGUGAGUUCCC